CAAUUAUGUGAACCGUUGCAAUGUUUUGGCUUUCCCGCCCACUGAAAAUUUUGCCUCUUUCUCUCAUAAAUCAAAAAUUCACUCAAAUUAUUUUUUAUUUUAUUUUUCUAUAGAGUUUAUCUUUCCCCCAGAUUUCACAAACUCUCCUCCGGUGAAUCGCAAAUCCUCCGCCGAAUCGCAUAUAUGGAACCACAAACCCCUCCGUCGAAUCCCUAAUCGAAGAACCUCAAACCCCUUCGUUGUUCUCCUUCGUUCAAUCCAUCAAUAUCUAUGUCGUUCUUCUUCAAUUCCUCCGCCAUUCUCCUUUAAUCCUCCGCCUUUCUUCGUCGUUCUCCGCGGUUCCAAGAAUCCUUUUUCACUCUUGAGGCUUGUAUUCAUGAGUUUUACUAUGGGUUGGAGCAUUUCAAGUACUGGAGGAUUUUCCCGACGGGUUUUACUCGCUCAAGCCGCACAAACGGGUACCUGAAGCUUGAAGUUUCGUUUUCCUUUUUAGUUCCAGAAGUUCCCUUGACACAUGAGGUUGGAAGUUUGGAUUGAAAAGAAUUAUAAGACGAGAUUCAAUUGGAGCACUAGACUAGAUUGGAGAACAAGCUUUAGAUGUAGACUAUGUUGUGGUUGUAAUAAUCAAGUGUUGAGAGAGCUACAAUUACAGAGGUGAGUUCCAUAGAUAGAAAUCCUUACCAAUAUAGUCUCCCCACUAUUCUCAUGGAGAAUUGGGUUUACGGGUAGUUAGAACUAGAAACUAUUUCAUGAGAAAUUGCACUUUGAUGAGAUUGCCCCUUUAGAUUAGUUCUCUCAAAUUGUAUAGAUUUAAUGCAUGUUGUUUAUGAAUCUUGGUGACUUCCCUUGCCCUUGUUGUGCUACUAACUGUGGGCCUAAAUUGUCACUAAAAUGCAUCUAGAGUAUGGCUAAGACUGUGUGAGGAUAAUGGUACAAACUGAAUUUUUUGCAGGAAACUGGCCACCUGGGCAUUCUGCCCUCUGCGUCUGGGGCGCGGAUCACUGCGCUGGAAGCGCAAAUAACAGUGUUUCCCAGACUGUUCCUGCGCCUGGAGCUACAUCCAGCAGCCCCGUUUGCACUGUUUUGCAUUUCCGGAUGCUUUUGGGACACCGUAAUGUCCCUAAUGGAAUAAGAUCAUAUAGGAAUGACAAAUAUAGUAGUUAGCUUAAUAAAUUGCAUAGGUUGGGUAGGGAAAACAAACAGAAUACUAUGGACUAGAUGCAUUAUAAGUUAAUUCAGGACAGGGUAAGAAUAUUGACAGUUGAUCUUGAAAUGUAGUGGACUUUGGGCCACAAGUGUUAGAUUUCUAAUCCUAAAUGUCUAUGAUGAAUAAUAUGUUAAGUUGUGGUCUAUAAGGCACCAGAAAGGCUUCCUUAUGUAGGAGUUGGAGCUGGAUUGAAAUUCUAUAUAGAAUUUCACACAACGAUAAGAUGAGGUAUGACCGUACGCUUUAGCCCUGAUAUGAUAGGGAAUUUAGCCGGGUAUGUAAGGGAAUGGUUCGAGACUACUCACCUCGAAUUAUUCCGUAAAAUCAACUCAAACAAAUAAUUUUGUGUCACACUUUAUUUGCAUUAUACCGAAAAUAAUCGUGAAAUGAAUAUGUAUAUGUUUAUUAUUUUUCUUAUUCCUGUAAUUCCUAUAUAUGUUUUUGAAUACAGUGAAGCUAAUAACAAGUAUUUUUGCCUUUCUGAACCAGCAACAAGGCAAAGUUUAACAAUUUUGCAAUUUAAACAGUCUUCUUUUGGCUUAUGAGUUUUGGAAAUUUUUCCUAACAAUUUUAUUAAUAUUGCAGUGGGAAUGUCAAGUUAACUUGGUCAUAUGUAGAUGAUAGAUAUUGAAGCUUGUCAUCAUAUAUUGGCUUCAAGAAGUUGGUCCUUGAGGUGCUUAUAUAUGUUCUCUCAUGGUAUGAAAGGUAGUAUAUAAACCUUUGAUCAUAUAUUGGCUUCAUGAAACAUCGUUUAUGCCUUUGUAAGAAGAAUUGAUUGUGUUUUGUUGCAUUAUUAUUUAUUUAACUGAUGGGCGAUUGUGAAUUAUAGCUGCUGAUGUGUUCUUAUGGAAGUGUAUGAACUGUGGUUUGGGUUUUUUGAGCUGCUUGAAUAUCACUUUGUUACUCAUGCGUGUCAUUUCAAUUCUGGUUAUUGUCCUAUUGGUUUUGUGGUCCAAUGCUCAUACCUUUCUUCAUAGGGACCUUUGAAAGGUUAAAGAUGUGAGAACUUGUAGCCAAAGUUAGGGUAAAAAUUGAAUUGUGGAAAAUGGUGGUGAUUGAAGAAAGUGGAAUGGAUGUGAAGUAAAUCAGUGGUAUGAAUGUGAAGUAAAGUUUCCAACAUGCUACUAGAUGGCAGAUCAGGUAACCGAAUAAGAAGAGUCAAGCGAUGAUAGGCGUUUCUGAGUCUAGUUAACACUAAUUAAGGAUUAUGAAGCAACAUCACAUACUAGGGAUAUUUAGAUAUUUUUUGAACUUAUUGACGUAAUGUUAUAUUUAACCACUCUACUAACAUUUAUGUUAUAGUUUUUGAAUGUUUGAACUACAUUAGUUUCUUUCAUUUGGAACUUCAUGUACUUGAAUUAAAUUUUUGAUUUAUAUGAAUCUUGUCACUAUUGAAUGAAUUAUA
Molecule: long non-coding RNA, 2612 nt
Organism: Trifolium pratense (red clover)
Lineage: Eukaryota; Viridiplantae; Streptophyta; Magnoliopsida; Fabales; Fabaceae
Exons: 5
Source: RefSeq, a predicted model, not a curated record